GACGAACGCUGGCGGCGUGCUUAACACAUGCAAGUCGAACGGAAAGGCCCUGCUUUUGUGGGGUGCUCGAGUGUCGAACGGGUGAGUAACACGUGAGUAACCUGCCCUUGACUUUGGGAUAACUUCAGGAAACUGGGGCUAAUACCGGAUAUGAGCUCCUUCUGCAUGGUGGGUGUUUGAACGUUUCGUCGGUUGGGGAUGGACUCGCGGCUUAUCAGCUUGUUGGUGGGGUAGUGGCUUACCAAGGCUUUGACGGUUAGCCGGCCUGAGAGGGUGACCGGCCACAUUGGGACUGAGAUACGGCCCAGAUGCGUACGGGAGGAAGCAGUGGGGAAUAUUGAAAAAUGGGCGGAAGCCUGAAGCAGCAACGCCGCGUGCGGGAUGACGGCCUUCGGGUGGUAAACAGAUUAAGACUGUGAGGAAGCGUGAGGGACGGAAAAGGGUAAAGAAGCAACGGCUAAAUACGUG
Molecule: ribosomal RNA, 468 nt
Filed under: uncultured bacterium
Lineage: Bacteria
Description: partial 16S ribosomal RNA
Rfam family: Bacterial small subunit ribosomal RNA
Source: RNAcentral